Non-coding RNA from Nannospalax galili (Upper Galilee mountains blind mole rat), 378 nucleotides. The record is from the annotation of a RefSeq genome assembly. Lineage: Eukaryota; Metazoa; Chordata; Mammalia; Rodentia; Spalacidae.
AUGGACAUGAGGGGUCCUGCUCAGGUCCUAGGCCUGCUGCUCUUCUGGUUUCCAGGUAUAAGAUGUGACACCCAGAUGACUCAAUCUCCAUCCUCCUUGUCUGCAUCUUUGGGAGACAGAGUCACCAUCACUUGCCGUGCCAGUCAGGGCAUUAGUAAUUUUUUAGCUUGGUAUCAGCAGAAACCAGGGACAACUCCUAAACUCCUGAUCUAUGGGGCAUCAACCCUACAUUCUGGGGUCCCAUCUAGGUUCAGUGGUGGUGGAUCUGGAACACAAUUCACUCUCACCAUCAGCAGCCUGGAGUCAGGAGAUGUUGGAAUAUACUAUUGUCAACAGUAUGGUUACCUUCCUCCCACAGUGAUACAGUUCAUAACAUAA